UUGCUAUGAUGAGAUAUCAGUUUAUUGAUUGUUUGAUGAUAUUUUGGCAGUCAUGUCGAACCUGAGCGGUUAACUGAGCAA
Molecule: non-coding RNA, 81 nt
Organism: Lupinus angustifolius (narrow-leaved blue lupine)
Lineage: Eukaryota; Viridiplantae; Streptophyta; Magnoliopsida; Fabales; Fabaceae
Source: Rfam